RNAcentral lists this ribosomal RNA (483 nucleotides) under uncultured bacterium. RNAcentral describes it as "partial 16S ribosomal RNA". It matches the Rfam family "Bacterial small subunit ribosomal RNA", at positions 28 to 507 of the family's 1533-position model. The record is from RNAcentral.
GACGAACGCUGGCGGCGUGCUUAACACAUGCAAGUCGAACGCUGAAGCUCAGCUUUUGUUGGGUGGAUGAGUGGCGAACGGGUGAGUAACACGUGAGUAACCUGCCCCCUUCUUUGGGAUAACGCCCGGAAACGGGUGCUAAUACUGGAUAUUCACUGGUCUUCGCAUGGGGGUUGGUGGAAAGGGUUUUUCUGGUGGGGGAUGGGCUUGCGGCCUAUCAGCUUGUUGGUGGGGUGAUGGCCUACCAAGGCUUUGACGGGUAGCCGGCCUGAGAGGGUGACCGGUCACAUUGGGACUGAGAUACGGCCCAGACUCCUACGGGAGGCAGCAGUGGGGAAUAUUGCACAAUGGGCGCAAGCCUGAUGCAGCGACGCCGUGUGAGGGAUGGAGGCCUUCGGGUUGUGAACCUCUUUCGCUCAUGGUCAAGCCGCAACAAUGGUUGUGGUGAGGGUAGUGGGUAAAGAAGCGCCGGCUAACUACGUG